RNAcentral lists this ribosomal RNA (253 nucleotides) under uncultured bacterium. Its description in RNAcentral is "partial 16S ribosomal RNA". It matches the Rfam family "Bacterial small subunit ribosomal RNA", at positions 524 to 776 of the family's 1533-position model. The record is from RNAcentral.
UACGUAGGGGGCAAGCGUUGUCCGGAUUCAUUGGGCGUAAAGAGCGUGUAGGCGGCCAGGUAGGUCGGUUGUGAAAACUGGAGGCUCAACCUUCAGAGGUCGACCGAAACCAUCUGGCUAGAGUCCGGGAGAGGAGAGUGGAAUUCCUGGUGUAGCGGUGAAAUGGGCAGAUAUCAGGAAGAACACCCGUGGCGAAAGCGGCUCUCUGGAACGGUACUGACGCUGAGACGCGAAAGCGUGGGGAGCGAACAGG